Molecule: small nuclear RNA, 18 nt
Filed under: Arabidopsis thaliana (thale cress)
Lineage: Eukaryota; Viridiplantae; Streptophyta; Magnoliopsida; Brassicales; Brassicaceae
Description: snRNA_12299
Source: RNAcentral
GCACCUUGGGCGAAGGUG